This 256-nucleotide ribosomal RNA is filed under the name uncultured bacterium. RNAcentral describes it as "partial 16S ribosomal RNA". It matches the Rfam family "Bacterial small subunit ribosomal RNA", at positions 96 to 354 of the family's 1533-position model. The record is from RNAcentral.
UGGCGAACGGGUGAGUAAUACAUCGGAACGUGUCCGCUCGUGGGGGACAACCAGCCGAAAGGUUGGCUAAUACCGCAUGAGUCCUACGGAAGAAAGAGGGGGACCCGCAAGGGCCUCUCGCGAGCGGAGCGGCCGAUGACUGAUUAGCCGGUUGGUGAGGUAACGGCUCACCAAAGCAACGAUCAGUAGCUGGUCUGAGAGGACGACCAGCCACACUGGACUGAGACACGGCCCAGACUCCUACGGAAGGCAGCAG